Molecule: ribosomal RNA, 253 nt
Filed under: uncultured bacterium
Lineage: Bacteria
Description: partial 16S ribosomal RNA
Rfam family: Bacterial small subunit ribosomal RNA
Source: RNAcentral
UACGUAGGGGGCGAGCGUUGUCCGGAAUCAUUGGGCGUAAAGCGCGUGUAGGCGGCUUGGCAAGUCUUGCGUGAAAUCCCUCGGCUCAACUGAGGAACUGCCCUCCAAACUGUUUGGCUUGAGACCGGGAGAGGUGAGUGGAAUUCCCAGUGUAGCGGUGAAAUGCGUAGAUAUUGGGAGGAACACCAGUGGCGAAGGCGGCUCACUGGACCGGUACUGACGCUGAGGCGCGAAAGCGUGGGGAGCAAACGGG